This is a long non-coding RNA of Helianthus annuus (common sunflower), 298 nucleotides long. RefSeq lists it as uncharacterized. The record is from RefSeq and is a predicted model, not a curated record. The transcript has 3 exons. NCBI's taxonomy places the organism in Eukaryota, Viridiplantae, Streptophyta, Magnoliopsida, Asterales, Asteraceae.
AGAUGUCAUCGGAUAUGUUACUGAGGUAGGUGCGCCAUCUGUGAACGCUUCGGGUUCACGCACAGUCGAAUUCAGUCUAACGAAUGAACGCAAGCGCCAAGUCAGAGUGACACUGUGGGGCCACCUUGGUGAUGUUAUGAUUCAGAGGAAGGGUGAGAACCCACCCGUUUACUCUCUUAUCUUGACUUCCAUGAGCGCGAAGUUCUACCUCGGCACCCUGUGUUUGUCCAGCUCAACAUCGACUAUGCUCAUCGAUUCGGACGAGAUACCUGCGCUGCAGUCUUUCAGGGCGUCCAUC